Molecule: transfer RNA, 68 nt
Filed under: Marmota monax (woodchuck)
Lineage: Eukaryota; Metazoa; Chordata; Mammalia; Rodentia; Sciuridae
Description: tRNA.Ala
Source: RNAcentral
GGUCUGUGGCUCAGUGGCAGAGUGCUUGUCUUGCACGUAUGAGGCACUGGGUUCCAUCCUCAGCACCA